GGCGGCAGGCUUAACACAUGCAAGUCGAACGCCCGAGCAAUCGGGAGUGGCAGACGGGUGAGUAACACGUGGGAACAUACCCUCAGGUUCGGAACAACGCCGGGAAACUGGCGCUAAUACCGGAUACGCCCUUUUGGGGAAAGGCUUGCUGCCUGAGGAUUGGCCCGCGUUCGAUUAGCUUGAUGGCGGGGUAACGGCCCACCAUGGCGACGAUCGAUAGCUGGUCUGAGAGGAUGGCCAGCCACAUUGGGACUGAGACACGGCCCAAACUCCUACGGGAGGCAGCAGUGGGGAAUAUUGGACAAUGGGCGCAAGCCUGAUCCAGCCAUGCCGCGUGAGUGAUGACGGCCUUAGGGUUGUAAAGCUCUUUCGCACGCGACGAUAAUGACGGUAGCGUGAGAAGAAGCCCCGGCUAACUUCGUGCCAGCAGCCGCGGUAAUACGAAGGGGGCUAGCGUUGUUCGGAAUCACUGGGCGUAAAGGGUGCGCAGGCGGGUUCAUAAGUCAGGGGUGAAAUCCCGAGGCUCAACCUCGGAACGGCCUUUGAUACUGUGGAUCUUGAGUCCGGAAGAGGUGAGUGGAACUG
This 585-nucleotide ribosomal RNA is filed under the name uncultured bacterium. RNAcentral's name for it is "bacterial SSU rRNA". It matches the Rfam family "Bacterial small subunit ribosomal RNA", at positions 38 to 669 of the family's 1533-position model. The record is from RNAcentral.